GGGUUGUGAGGUUAAGCGACCAAGCGUACACGGUGGAUGCCCUGGCAGUCAGAGGCGAUGAAGGACGUGCUAAUCUGCGAAAAGCGCCGGCGAGGUGAUAUGAACCCUUGACCCGGCGAUGUCCGAAUGGGGAAACCCAGUGUGACUCGUCACACUAUCAUUAACUGAAUCCAUAGGUUAAUGAGGCGAACCGGGGGAACUGAAACAUCUAAGUACCCCGAGGAAAAGAAAUCAACCGAGAUUCCCCCAGUAGCGGCGAGCGAACGGGGAGGAGCCCAGAGCCUGAAUCAGCAGGUGUGUUAGUGGAAGCGUCUGGAAAGGCGCGCGAUACAGGGUGAGAGCCCCGUACACGAAAAUGCACCUGGUGUGAGCUCGAUGAGUAGGGCGGGACACGUGGUAUCCUGUCUGAAUAUGGGGGGACCAUCCUCCAAGGCUAAAUACUCCUGACUGACCGAUAGUGAACCAGUACCGUGAGGGAAAGGCGAAAAGAACCCCGGCGAGGGGAGUGAAAAAGAACCUGAAACCGUGUACGUACAAGCAGUGGGAGCACAGGUUUACCUGUGUGACUGCGUACCUUUUGUAUAAUGGGUCAGCGACUUAUAUUCUGUAGCAAGGUUAACCGAAUAGGGGAGCCGGAGGGAAACCGAGUCUUAAUUGGGCGUUAAGUUGCAGGGUAUAGACCCGAAACCCGGUGAUCUAGCCAUGGGCAGGUUGAAGGUUGGGUAACACUAACUGGAGGACCGAACCGACUAAUGUUGAAAAAUUAGCGGAUGACCUGUGGCUGGGGGUGAAAGGCCAAUCAAACCGGGAGAUAGCUGGUUCUCCCCGAAAGCUAUUUAGGUAGCGCCUCGUGAACUCAUCUCCGGGGGUAGAGCACUGUUUCGGCUAGGGGGCCAUCCCGGCUUACCAACCCGAUGCAAACUGCGAAUACCGGAGAAUGUUAUCACGGGAGACACACGGCGGGUGCUAACGUCCGUCGUGAAGAGGGAAACAACCCAGACCGCCAGCUAAGGUCCCAAAGUCAUGGUUAAGUGGGAAACGAUGUGGGAAGGCCCAGACAGCCAGGAUGUUGGCUUAGAAGCAGCCAUCAUUUAAAGAAAGCGUAAUAGCUCACUGGUCGAGUCGGCCUGCGCGGAAGAUGUAACGGGGCUAAACCAUGCACCGAAGCUGCGGCAGCGGCACGCAAGUGUUGUUGGGUAGGGGAGCGUUCUGUAAGCCGUUGAAGGUGUGCUGUGAGGCAUGCUGGAGGUAUCAGAAGUGCGAAUGCUGACAUAAGUAACGAUAAAGCGGGUGAAAAGCCCGCUCGCCGGAAGACCAAGGGUUCCUGUCCAACGUUAAUCGGGGCAGGGUGAGUCGACCCCUAAGGCGAGGCCGAAAGGCGUAGUCGAUGGGAAACGGGUUAAUAUUCCCGUACUUGGUGUUACUGCGAAGGGGGGACGGAGAAGGCUAUGUUGGCCGGGCGACGGUUGUCCCGGUUUAAGCGUGUAGGCUGGUUUUCCAGGCAAAUCCGGAAAAUCAAGGCUGAGGCGUGACGACGAGGCACCACGGUGCUGAAGCAACAAAUGCCCUGCUUCCAGGAAAAGCCUCUAAGCGUCAGGUAACAUCAAAUCGUACCCCAAACCGACACAGGUGGUCAGGUAGAGAAUACCAAGGCGCUUGAGAGAACUCGGGUGAAGGAACUAGGCAAAAUGGUGCCGUAACUUCGGGAGAAGGCACGCUGACAUGUAGGUGAAGCGGUUUACCCGUGGAGCUGAAGUCAGUCGAAGAUACCAGCUGGCUGCAACUGUUUAUUAAAAACACAGCACUGUGCAAACACGAAAGUGGACGUAUACGGUGUGACGCCUGCCCGGUGCCGGAAGGUUAAUUGAUGGGGUCAGCGGUAACGCGAAGCUCCUGAUCGAAGCCCCGGUAAACGGCGGCCGUAACUAUAACGGUCCUAAGGUAGCGAAAUUCCUUGUCGGGUAAGUUCCGACCUGCACGAAUGGCGUAAUGAUGGCCAGGCUGUCUCCACCCGAGACUCAGUGAAAUUGAACUCGCUGUGAAGAUGCAGUGUACCCGCGGCAAGACGGAAAGACCCCGUGAACCUUUACUAUAGCUUGACACUGAACACUGGUCCUUGAUGUGCAGGAUAGGUGGGAGGCUUUGAAGCGUGGACGCCAGUCUGCGUGGAGCCAUCCUUGAAAUACCACCCUUUAAUGGCUGGUGUUCUAACGUGGGCCCCUGACCGGGGUUGCGGACAGUGUCUGGUGGGUAGUUUGACUGGGGCGGUCUCCUCCCAAAGAGUAACGGAGGAGCACGAAGGUUGGCUAAUCCUGGUCGGACAUCAGGAGGUUAGUGCAAUGGCAUAAGCCAGCUUGACUGCGAGCGUGACGGCGCGAGCAGGUGCGAAAGCAGGUCAUAGUGAUCCGGUGGUUCUGAAUGGAAGGGCCAUCGCUCAACGGAUAAAAGGUACUCCGGGGAUAACAGGCUGAUACCGCCCAAGAGUUCAUAUCGACGGCGGUGUUUGGCACCUCGAUGUCGGCUCAUCACAUCCUGGGGCUGAAGUAGGUCCCAAGGGUAUGGCUGUUCGCCAUUUAAAGUGGUACGCGAGCUGGGUUUAGAACGUCGUGAGACAGUUCGGUCCCUAUCUGCCGUGGGCGCUGGAAGAUUGAGGGGGGCUGCUCCUAGUACGAGAGGACCGGAGUGGACGCAUCACUGGUGUUCGGGUUGUCAUGCCAAUGGCACUGCCCGGUAGCUAAAUGCGGAAGAGAUAAGUGCUGAAAGCAUCUAAGCACGAAACUUGCCCCGAGAUGAAUCUUCCCUGAGACUUUAAGUCUCCUGAAGGAACGUUGAAGACGACGACGUUGAUAGGCCGGGUGUGUAAGCGCAGCGAUGCGUUGAGCUAACCGGUACUAAUGAACCGUGAGGCUUAACCUUACAACGCCGAAG
Molecule: ribosomal RNA, 2928 nt
Filed under: Salmonella bongori serovar 66:z41:- str. SA19983605
Lineage: Bacteria; Pseudomonadati; Pseudomonadota; Gammaproteobacteria; Enterobacterales; Enterobacteriaceae
Also listed under: 1 other name
Description: bacterial LSU rRNA
Rfam family: Bacterial large subunit ribosomal RNA
Source: RNAcentral